AACUUUUGAGACAGAGUAUCUAGUUAUAUAGACCAGACUGGCCUUGAAUUUACAGAGACCCACAUGCCUUUGCCUACCCCCAGCUCAUAUUUCAACUGAAGACUAAUCAAAGGGUUUUGCUUUUCUGAUGCAUUGUCUAUGUAGCUCUGGCUGUCCUGGAAUUCACUACAUAGGCAAUGCCAGCCUCAAACUUUCAAACCCACCUGGCUCUGCCUCCCAAGUGCCGGAAUGGAAGCCUGUGAACCAUGUCUGACUCAGAAGAGCAAUCCAAAAGCACAGAACUUUGCGCGCGCGCGCGCACACACACACACACACACACACACACACACACACACACACACACACACCCCUACCUUUCUAUAUGGUAUGCAUACUUACACGCUAUCUUACAAAGUAGCAACCGGUCUCUAAGAAGCCUUCUUUAAUCCCUCCAUGAAUACAUUCUAUUUUUCUUUAUCUAACAAUUAUAUUAUCAUAAAUAUUCACUUAUCUGUACAUACAUAAUCUUUCUAGAUGGCCAGCUUAAGAAGGGGGUAAAUUAUAUAAUUUCCUUAUCACUAAAUCCCUAGCACCGAAUAUAAUAACAAGCAUACAGUAGAUAAUAAAUAUUUGCAAAGGAAAGACAGAAAUCACAUAACUUUCAAAAAAUCUGCAUAUAAUUUUUUACUAAAAAUGUUCAAAAUAAAAUGUAUAAAUUUUGAUUACAAUGUUUUUAUUUCACAUUAUAAUUCAGUAUUUUGGUUAUGGGGUAAUUAUAAUGAAUCAAUCUAUGUUCUAUCCAUUCAGUCUGAAGGUUCCUGGCCCUGAUCUCAAAUGUUUGAAAACCAGUAUACUACAUAGCCACUAAGCUAGACGUACCAAGUAAGCCCUUUUCUUUUGGUGCAUUAGUACCGCUACAAUGUACUGUGUAAGAUUUCAAAUAACCCAAUUACUACCCAGUAAACUUAUUUUUCUGAUUACAGACCCAUUCCUGACAGCAGACAUCAAAGGUAUUUUCCAUGACGCCAUUUAGAGCAUUAGAAAUAUUUCCCAAGGACAUGACGUAGGGGAGGAACAAGCACAUCCUGCAGUCACAGUGAGCACAAGCUGUAGUUGGUUUCCUGUCCUAGGUGUCCCUGCUCCUAGGUCAGGUCACGGGGUAACCUGAGGAAACGCCCCUAGGUGUCAAUCACUGAGAAGAGAGAAAGAAUAAGUACAUAGCUCCCACACAGUCUUUCUUUUUUUUCAGAUUAAUUUAUGUGUGUAUGCGUGCGUGUGUUUGUGUGUCCAUGCAUGUGCUGCCUACCAUAAGCAUACACAUGGAGGUCAGAGGAAAACCUGUGGGAAUCGGUUCUUCUUGCGCUAUGCUGGUCCCAGGGACUGAACUCAGGUCAUUAGACUUGGUGGCAGGUUACCACUGAGGCAUCUCACCUUCAGGCCUAAGUGUCUUUGAAAAAAACUUCUGGUAAGGGUUUUGUGGAAAGGUGAAAAUCAGUCAUUCCUGAUAAUAACUAUCCACACGUACUUAUUUACAGCAGAGUAGAAUGAAGGAAAGCUUUCUUCAAAGCAGAUGUAUAGAAAAGACCAUGGCUCCAAGCAGAUCCAGGAGCUGCCUAACAAAAUUAUCCCAAGGCGAGGAACACGGCUCAGCGGUAGAGCACUUGCCUAGCAUGUGAAAGGCCUUGGACCAACCCCCUGCAAAACGGAAAAGACAGAGGAAAUCCACUCCACUAUCAUUCUGCUUUCAAAUAUUAACAACUUCAAAUAAGAACCUAUUUUCUGUCUAACCCAAUAAAUAAAAGUAGUGGUUUUCCCCAUUCAAAUCAUCUAAUUAUGAAAUCCCUGCCUUCAGAAUGUAUAACAUAUAAAUUAGGUAACUCAGGACCAGCAAGACAACUUAGCACAUAAAGGCAUUUGUCAUCAAGCCAGACAGCCAGUGUUCCAUAUACGGUGGAAUGCACACAUUCAACACAUACAUAGAAAAACAGUAUUUAAAAGUUAUAUAAUUUAGCCAGCAGUGGUAGCACAUUCCUUUAAUCUCAGCACUCAAGAGGCAGAGGUAAGUGGAUCUCUAGUGAGCUCGAUUGAGGCCAGCCUGUUCUACAGAGAGAGUUCCAGGAUAGCCAGGGAGGACAUCAUUUUCUAAAUUUACAAAAAUGGACAAUACCAACUCUACAAGUAUAUUUUAAGAAAAAUCUUUUUUAAAAUUAAUUCUAUAUACACAGUGCUCACAUGUAUUAUAUACAGACGUUUCUAAUAACUGUUGGCAAACAAUAGAUGUUAAGACACCACUCCCAUCUCAACCUUGAACUAACAAGGAGGCCAAUCCUAGCAUCUGGCACAGCUCCAUCAAAAAGGUCUCUGUAGCCAAGCUUGGUAGAGAAUGCCUGCAACCUCAGGGUCCCGGAGGCUGAAGCAGGAGGAUUGUGAUCUUUAAGGCCUGCUGGGACUAUAUACCACAAAAUCCUAUCCCCAGAACCUAAGCGUCAGACUGUAGGCAGCAUGUGCAGUUCAAUCCACAGA
Molecule: long non-coding RNA, 2502 nt
Filed under: Mus musculus (house mouse)
Lineage: Eukaryota; Metazoa; Chordata; Mammalia; Rodentia; Muridae
Description: predicted gene, 26789
Source: RNAcentral